UACGUAGGGUGCAGGCGUUAAUCGGAAUUACUGGGCGUAAAGCGUGCGCAGGCGGUUUGCUAAGACAGGUGUGAAAUCCCCGGGCUUAACCUGGGAACUGCGCUUGUAACUGGCAAGCUAGAGUGUGGCAGAGGGGGGUGGAAUUCCACGUGUAGCAGUGAAGUGCGUAGAGAUGUGGAGGAACACCGAUGGCGAAGGCAGCCCCCUGGGCUAACACUGACGCUCAUGCACGAAAGCGUGGGGAGCAAACAGG
This 253-nucleotide ribosomal RNA is filed under the name uncultured bacterium. Its description in RNAcentral is "partial 16S ribosomal RNA". It matches the Rfam family "Bacterial small subunit ribosomal RNA", at positions 524 to 776 of the family's 1533-position model. The record is from RNAcentral.